This 460-nucleotide ribosomal RNA is filed under the name uncultured bacterium. RNAcentral describes it as "partial 16S ribosomal RNA". It matches the Rfam family "Bacterial small subunit ribosomal RNA", at positions 338 to 795 of the family's 1533-position model. The record is from RNAcentral.
CCUACGGGUGACAGCAGUGAGGAAUAUUGGUCAAUGGACGAGAGUCUGAACCAGCCAAGUAGCGUGAAGGAUGACUGCCCUAUGGGUUGUAAACUUCUUUUAUAUGGGAAUAAAACGUUCCACGUGUGGGAUUUUGUAUGUACCAUAUGAAUAAGGAUCGGCUAACUCCGUGCCAGCAGCCGCGGUAAUACGGAGGAUCCGAGCGUUAUCCGGAUUUAUUGGGUUUAAAGGGAGCGUAGGUGGAUUGUUAAGUCAGUUGUGAAAGUUUGCGGCUCAACCGUAAAAUUGCAGUUGAAACUGGCAGUCUUGAGUACAGUAGAGGUGGGCGGAAUUCGUGGUGUAGCGGUGAAAUGCUUAGAUAUCACGAAGAACUCCGAUUGCGAAGACAGUUCACUGGACUGCAACUGACACUGAGGCUCGAAAGUGUGGGUAUCAAACAGGAUUAGAUACCCCUGUAGUC